UCCUCCCUCUGGCGGCGUGCUUAACACAUGCAAGUCGAACGGAAAGGCCCUGCUGGUGUGGGGUGCUCGAGUGGCGAACGGGUGAGUAACACGUGAGUAACCUGCCCUUGACUUUGGGAUAACUUCAGGAAACUUGGGCUAAUACCGGAUAGCAGCUCCUGCUGCAUGGUGGGGGUGGGAAAGUUUCGGCGGUGGGGGAUGGACUCGCGGCUUAUCAGCUUGUUGGUGGGGUAGUGGCUUACCAAGGCUUUGACGGGUAGCCGGCCUGAGAGGGUGACCGGCCACAUUGGGACUGAGAUACGGCCCAGAGUCCUACGGGAGGCAGCAGUGGGGAAUAUUGCACAAUGGGCGGAAGCCUGAUGCAGCAACGCCGCGUGCGGGAUGACGGCCUUCGGGUUGUAAACCGCUUUCGCCUGUGACGAAGCGUGAGUGACGGUAAUGGGUAAAGAAGCACCGGCUAACUACGUG
RNAcentral lists this ribosomal RNA (468 nucleotides) under uncultured bacterium. Its description in RNAcentral is "partial 16S ribosomal RNA". It matches the Rfam family "Bacterial small subunit ribosomal RNA", at positions 34 to 507 of the family's 1533-position model. The record is from RNAcentral.